UCUCCGCAUUUACCGUAAUGCUGAGAAUACUCGCACAGGUGAAAUUUACGUGCGGCUGAUUUGACCACGGAGAUCGAAGUCCUCAGCGGCUGGCUUGACCGCAGUCGCUGACUGCACAGUGAUCAUCACACAUCGGUGAAGACGAUUUUCAGGUGUUAGCAAGAGCAGCUGACAUCAAAAGAACACUACUGCUUCCUGACUCUCCGAGACUAAUUGUCUUAGGUGAAGUGCUCACAGCAACUCAAUGGAUGCUGAGCAUCGAGGGUCAAGUGGUUGUGCCUCCACAUCCCAACUUCGUGGCUGGAAUGGCAGCAUUCUUUUCAAGCUAUUACAACUUGAAUCUGGUGUACAAGGAGCAAGCAGUCGGGAAAUCUCCAACCAGAGUACCUGCUGCCUGACGCUAUGUUGAUGCAAUUAUAUUACUACUGAUGUUUCAUUGGACUCAACCUCAUCAGUGGCACCAAGACGACAAAGCUGGUCAGCCAAGGAAGUGGGAAGAUGCAUGAGAAGAAGAACAGCUCAGUCAAUCCUCACGUCUCCUCUCUCCUCCGGCGAUUAAUGGACUUUGAAUGGCUUUGAGCAUAAGUCAUAUGCAAAAGAUGAGGAUUCUUGUCUUCCCCGCUAUAUGAGUGGACAUUGUUCUUAAAGGGAAAUUUCUCUAUCUAUCCGAGUUAGGGAUAUAGUGUGAAUAACGGAUUUAGCCGGCGCAGCUGCAAAAUCUGUUGUUCUUCCGGCACCAGCCCCAGAGAUAUGGAGAACAUCAGCAACAACAGCAGGCGUUUUUCAGACUAUAUCCCUAACUUGGAUAGAUAGAGUUAAAGGGAUAGUUCAGGUUUUUUGAAGUGGGGUCAUAUGAAGUACUUAUCUAUAGUCGGUGUGUUAGCUACAUUAGCUGCUGCUCAGCGAAUUUUAACCACCUAAAACAAUCUAUAUCAGUUCUAGUGUACGUUGUAUAGAGAAAAUUCACACCGCUUUACAUCUCCGUCAGACGGCCCUUUCCUUUGGUACUACAUUUCUCAACCGUAUAACUCACGUAUUCCUACGCAUACGGCGUAAUACAGUGCGGCCGCAGCGGGCAAAGUUGUGCUUAUGCGAAGGAAUACGUGAGUUAUACGGUAUAAGGGCCGUCUGACAGCGAUGUAAAGCGGUGUGAAUUUUCUCUAUGUAACAUACACUUGGAACUGAUAUAGAUUUUAGGUGGGUCUUGUUUUAGGUGGUUAAAAUUCGCUUUGCAUCUGGAUUCCGUUCACUGCAGUGCAAAGCUGACCUAUUCGCUAUCUGGUGGACAGUUAGAUGAGAAGAUCGAUACCAUGUCCAUUAAAGGCACAUAACGCACAGUAAAAAGGUUAAAAAGUGAGAUUUAAAGGUGCUAGUUGGCAGAUUUUGUUACUUUUGGACCAAGCCAGGCUAGCUGUUUCCCCAUUUCCAGUCUGUGCUUAAUUAGGCUAACCAGUUUCUGUCUGAAGCCUUUUAUUUAACAGGCAGAUAUGAUUUAUGGGGAUUCGAAUUGAGUUCUGAAGGCAUGUUGUAAAACUAUUGAGUUUUAAUAAAAGAUGUUUUGUUGCAGCUCAGACUUUUAUUUAACAGGUGAAGAAAAUCUAAUGUUAAUGAAUUUUGGAGUAACAGCAAGCCUGGUCUCAUUCAAUAUGCAUAUUUUGCAAAGCUGCUAAUGUAAGAAACAAAGAUUAACUGUAAAAACAUUCUACAACAACAUAUUGUAUUGUGAAGUAUUAACAGCUAUUUACUGGCAAUUUUAGUUGCCAGGUAACCUCUGUAAUUUGAAUAGAAUACAAGAUAAUGUUGUAAACUAGAUUAAAAUUAAUAGUUGAAAAAAAAACUACAACAAAUUGCUGUAAUUUAUAUACAAAAACCUGUAAAAGUUAUCCUGUAAUAUACUGUAAUCCUUUUUACAGUAAUUAACAGCAAUUUUACAAUACUUUACUGGCAACUUUUUUUGCCAGGUAUUUACUGUAAAUUCUACAGUCAAUUUGUUACAGUGUAAUAUUUCAGGAAUAAAUGCUUUGGCCAAAUUACCUAAGAA
This is a long non-coding RNA of Dicentrarchus labrax (European seabass), 2041 nucleotides long. RefSeq lists it as uncharacterized. The transcript is spliced from 4 exons. Lineage: Eukaryota; Metazoa; Chordata; Actinopteri; Moronidae. The record is from RefSeq and is a predicted model, not a curated record.